RNAcentral lists this ribosomal RNA (472 nucleotides) under uncultured bacterium. RNAcentral describes it as "bacterial SSU rRNA". It matches the Rfam family "Bacterial small subunit ribosomal RNA", at positions 328 to 793 of the family's 1533-position model. The record is from RNAcentral.
CGCUAUCACUCCUACGGGGAGCAGCAGUAGGGAAUCUUCACAAUGGGCGCAAGCCUGAUGGAGCAACACCGCGUGAGUGAAGAAGGGUUUCGGCUCGUAAAGCUCUGUUGUUAAAGAAGAACACGUAUGAGAGUAACUGUUCAUACGUUGACGGUAUUUAACCAGAAAGUCACGGCUAACUACGUGCCAGCAGCCGCGGUAAUACGUAGGUGGCAAGCGUUAUCCGGAUUUAUUGGGCGUAAGGAGAGUGCAGGCGGUUUUCUAAGUCUGAUGUGAAAGCCUUCGGCUUAACCGGAGAAGUGCAUCGGAAACUGGAUAACUUGAGUGCAGAAGAGGGUAGUGGAACUCCAUGUGUAGCGGUGGAAUGCGUAGAUAUAUGGAAGAACACCAGUGGCGAAGGCGGCUACCUGGUCUGCAACUGACGCUGAGACUCGAAAGCAUGGGUAGCGAACAGGAUUAGAUACCCUGGUAG